This 685-nucleotide ribosomal RNA is filed under the name uncultured Tomentella. RNAcentral's name for it is "eukaryotic LSU rRNA". The stretch from base 249 to 403 matches the Rfam family "5.8S ribosomal RNA". Lineage: Eukaryota; Fungi; Basidiomycota; Agaricomycetes; Thelephorales; Thelephoraceae. The record is from RNAcentral.
AAGUCGUAACAAGGUUUCCGUAGGUGAACCUGCGGAAGGAUCAUUACUGUAUUGUCAACACGAGUUGUUGCUGGUCCUCAAACAAGGACACGUGCACGCUCUGUUCACACAUCCACUCACACCUGUGCACCCUCUGUAGUUCCUAUGGCUUGGGGGGACCCUGUCCACCUGCUGUGGUUCUACGUCUUUACACACACUCUGUAAUGAAGUCUCAUGGAAUGUAUCCCGCGUUUAACGCAAUACAAUACAACUUUCAGCAACGGAUCUCUUGGCUCUCGCAUCGAUGAAGAACGCAGCGAAAUGCGAUAAGUAAUGUGAAUUGCAGAAUUCAGUGAAUCAUCGAAUCUUUGAACGCACCUUGCGCCCUUUGGCUAUUCCGAAGGGCAUGCCUGUUUGAGUAUCAUGAACACCUCAACUCUCAUGGUUUGCCAUGAUGAGCUUGGACUUUGGGGGUCUUGCCGGCUUGCAGUCGGCUCCUCUCAAAUCAAUCAGCUUGCCAGUGUUUGGUGGCAUCACAGGUGUGAUAACUAUCUACGCUUGUGGUUCUCUACCAAGUAGCCUUCAGUGAUGGAGGUUCGCUGGAGCUCAUAAAUGUCUCUCCUCAGCGAAGACAAUUUCGUGAACGUUUGAUCUCAAAUCAGGUAGGACUACCCGCUGAACUUAAGCAUAUCAAUAAGCGGAGGAA